RNAcentral lists this long non-coding RNA (325 nucleotides) under Capsella rubella. RNAcentral's name for it is "long non-coding RNA (CRUB_LNC000140)". The record is from RNAcentral. Lineage: Eukaryota; Viridiplantae; Streptophyta; Magnoliopsida; Brassicales; Brassicaceae.
AGACUGUGUAAUUUAAGUUUGGGGGAGGGUUUGGGAUGACAUUUGAUGUUGUGUUCUCUUUUCUUAUUUUGAAUUUUUAGCAUAUAAUUUGCAUUCAUAUAUGUGCAUUGAAAACCCCUAAAAAUUUGAAAAAUUUUCAGAAAAAAAUCUUUAAAAACAGAGUGUUCAUGUAGCUUGCAUUUGCAUAUUAGGAUUGAGUCUAGAUUGUUUCAUGUAGGACUGUUGCAUUAGCAUAGGGGGCGAUGAUGAGUUACACCUUGUUGAUUUGCUAUGAUUCACCAGUUGAGAUCAAUGCCCUGGUUGUUAGCUUUUUGAUGCAUGAUGA